GAGCAUUUUAAUGUGGUAUUUUAAUAGUUAAUUCCUCACAUUUUGCUUAGUUAAUUCCUUAACGAAUCGAUUUUUAACUCAAUUUCUAUUUUCUUAGGUACAUUGGAGUAAAUGAUGGUGAAAUAAGCAUUAGGUCCACACUUACCUAUAAAUGGUGGAGAAAAAUGGAAAUGUACUAAAAUGUCAAUUUUACACAUUUUCCUACUCCGGCUAGGAGAAACCAAGCCAAGCAAGGAAGAAGGAGCGGCCGCCGGACCAAAUGAACUUUAAAUGAGCUGAAACUUUCCAGAUCCAUUCUAGACAGCCCAAGGAUCAUUUCUUAUGAAGAGUGCAAGAACUUUUGUUGAGUGGAAGGCCUUCAAACAAUCAACCCAAUUUUCUACAGAAGCAAAACUGGAAAACUGGACCUGUAAGAGGUCCAGCAGCAUUUUCGGCCCAACCACAUGGAAUAAAAAUCUGAAAUUUUACCAGGGUGAUCUACACUCAUAAUGGAACAUUUUUUAUGAAGAGGUCAUAGUGAAAUUGGGAAUGCUUGUUGGAGAAAUAAUUGAAGGAAUAAAGGGGCAGAAACUGAUCUAAAAAACAGCUCAACAUCACAUGUUCAUGUUUCCUACCCACAUGAAGAAAGCUAGAUGCUUUUCUCUUUUUCCUUGGAUAUAUUUUUCUGCUCCAAUAGAUCAUCAUCACUUCCAUACUUCUACACCUUCAUGCCUUGCUUUCAUUUCAUCAUUACUCCAUCUUUUCCAUAUUUUACAAACCACUUUCAUUAUUUUUCUUCCAUUUAUCAUUUCACUCUUCUUUUUCUUCCCUAUAUAAACACCUUCUCCUCUCACUCUAAACAAAUUCCUUCAUCCAUUUCAUCUUCUUUGUCUCUCCAUUUCCAUUCCAUUUUUCUCUCCAUUCUCUAGUUGCAAAAUUCUGCGUUUUCAAGUAAGAAGAAGAAGAAGAAGAAGGAGCCGGGAAUAUCAUAUCCUCCAUCGUCCACCUUGAAGGCUUGCUUCCAAGAUUCAAGAUUUCAACGUUUCAAGCACUCCAUCUCCAUCUCCAACUCACGGUACCGUCUGGCUGCAAGACGUAAAAUACAAGCGCUGCUUGGGAGGCAACCCAAUUCAGAAUAUAAUCAGAUUUGCUUUCUCUUCCCCUUUUACUCCUCCAUUUUCUUUUUGUUUUAGUAGUUAUUUUCGUAAAUUCCAUCACUAUAUGCUUACUUAUUUCAUUGCAUGCUUUUAAUUGAUUACAUUGAGGAUAAUGCAAUAUUUAAGUGUGGGGGAAGGGAUUUAUAUUUUUGUCUUUCAUUUUGAAUCCUAUAAAUAUUUUUGUCUUUCAUUUUGUGUCCUAUAAAUAUUUUUGAGUCCUAUAUUUUUUAAUAAUAAUAAAAAAAAAUAAAAAAAAAUAAAAAUAAAAUAAAAAUAAAAAUAAAAAUAAAAUAAAAUGCAUUCAUUCUGUCUUAUUAAAUUCAGCUUUUUACAAAAAAAAAAUAAUAAUAAUAAAAAAAAAAAUUUAAAAAAAAAAUAAUAAUAAAAAAAAAAAAAAAAAAAAAAAAAUGCAUUCAUUCAGUCUUAUUAAUUUCAGCUAUUUACAAAAAAAAAAAAAUAAUAAUAAUAAUAAUAAUAAUAAUAAAAAAUAAUAAUAAUAAUAAUAAUAAUAAUAAUACUCUAUACUAAGCCAUGUCUGCAUCUCUGUAGGAGUUGAGGCUGAGCUCAAGGGAAAUGUGAGAGCCACCGCCAUAACCGCUACCUCCCUCGGAAGUAGUCUUCAUGAUGCCCAAGAUGUCCUCACCAUGCAUGGGGAACAAUGGAAGAGUUUCAAUCUCCUGGUGAUCUCCUCCUCGUUGUUGCAGGGAUGUUUGUCCUCCUGUUGUGCCAAAAGAGUUGUACUGGUAUUAGUGUUGAAGUGUGAGGAAGAAUAUGAAACAAAAUUUAAAUCAAGAAAUCCUUCAUUACCAGUAGAAUCGGUGGAACCAAAGUUGAGAUUAAUGGAUCUACCAUCAUCAGUAGAACUAGUGGACCCAAAAUUGAUGUCAAUGGAUCCACCAGCUGGCCCAAAAUUGAUGUCGAUGGAUCCACCAGCACCAGUAGAACCAGUGGACCCAAAAUUGAGAUCAAUGGAUCCACCAGUACCAGGAGAACUAGUUCCCAUGGGCACUUGAGCAGCCUGAUUGCACCUCUUCAUCUGCUUCUCUCGAGCCCUGACAUUCUGGAACCAAAAAUAAAUGUUCUUGCCCUCAACAUGUCUAUACUGGUUCAGCUGGAGACAGAUCUCGUGAAUAUGCUCUGUAGUUGGGCGCUUAACUCCCUUGUCGUAGUAAAGAUCCUUGAGGAUCCUUAUUUGAUCUGGAGUAGGAACCCACCUGGCACGGCUUCGCCAGAAAUCUGUGUUGGCACUACUCCCGGCUGCUUGGUUGUUUCCUCCAUCCUCGAUUUGUUGCUGGGUUUGUAGCUCCAUCAGUUGCAGAGUUCGUGGUUCCAUGGUGAUGGGUUGAGGGGAUGUGAAGAUCGAAGAGUAAAGUUGUCGAGUGUUUGAAGGAGUUGUUGUUAAAGGGAUUAAGGAUGAUGAUGGUGUGUUGGAGAUCUGAAAGUUCAGAGGAAAGAUGGGAUUGAAUCAACUAGAUGGGAGAGAAGAUCAGAAGAGAAGGAUUGAAUCGAAGAAGAAAUAUUUUGAGUUUUGAAAGAAGAGGAAAAGCUGAAGAGUUGGGAGAGAGGGGCUGGAACUCAGGAGAGAUUUUCGUUCCUUUGGAGUGAACAGUUGCGCCCUCAGAAUGCACCUAUUUAUAGAGCGAGGUGAGCAGAUCUCCACCGUUGGAUGGACGAUUCCUGUGAUUCAUUCUACGCGUUGGAUUAAAGUCGCCCUGAAACCCGGAAAAGUUGUUGGCGCGUGGAGAGCGUGUAAGGGGACCGAGGGAAUCUCGAGGCGCUGUGGCGGACAGCUGUAGCCGAAAGCAGAUUUGACUGCCGUAAAUCACGGAAGGGAUAAGCCGUGACACAAGUGGGCCGUACUUGGGCCUGUCUCGGAUCAAGGCAUCACUGUAGCUGUGGGUGGAGGCCUGAUGGGCCGAGUUUCUGAAACAGUUUUGGAUGAGUUGGGCCGGAUUUCUGUAACAGUUUUGGAUACGUUGGGCCGAGUUUCUGAAACAGUCUUGGAUGUUUUGUGCCGAAUUGUUGAAACAGUUGAAACAGUUGGUUUAAAUAAAAGGAUUGGUAUGGAUAAUAACGUGAGCAGCCGUGCUCGAGUGGUUGAGUGUAAAGUUCGUGUACAAGAGGUCUGAGGUUCGAACCUCGCCUCUCGUUUAUUUUUAUUAUGUUCGUUUAUGACAUAAUAAGUAUAAAAUUUGUACACAUUAUAUUAAGCACAGCUUGUGCUCCAGUGGUUGGGGACAAAGGUUUCGUGUAGCAGGGUAAGGUUUCGAACCUUGCCUCCCCCGUUUUUUUUUUUUUUUAUUUAUGUCACUCCAUCAGAACCCUCCUCCGAAGGCUGAAACCAGCAAGAAGGCUGCCACUCGCCCGCAUACCGCUCCUCCAAAGGAGUAAAUGGAGGUACAAGUCUAGGCUGAAAGACUUUAAACAUUAAGCGCUGCAUGGGAGGCAACCCAUUUCAACCGUAGCUGUGGAGGAGCCAUCAACGCAGAUUUGCUCUCUUAAACUCUAUCUCCUCUAUUACUAUUUUCUGAUUGUAUCUUUGUUAUUUGCGUUUUUAGUUUUUGUUUUUAGGUUUUCUUGAGUUAAUCAUUCCAUUCACAUGAUAAUUGUUCAUUGCAUGCUCUAACUUGUUUAACAUUGAGGACAAUGUAUGAUUUAAGUGUGGGGGGAAGGAUUAAUGCUUGUAGUUAGUUUUUGUCAUAAAAAGAAAACAAAACAAAAAAAUCGAAAAAUGUCAGAAAUAUAAAAAAUUUCGUUGCUUUUGUUUUUGUUUUGAGUCUUAGGAUGCCUUUCAACUGUCUGGGAUGAUUCUAUAUCUCUGAAAUCAUGACUAAAAGAGGAUCACAACAUUGAGAUGAUUUUAAACAUGGUAUUCUUUGGUUAAUUGAGAUAUAUGAAAAAUGUGUGCCUUGUAGUGGAUAUGGAUUGCAUGACCUUGGUACAGAAUAUGAGCAUGUUAAGAUGAGUUGUGAUUCAUAAAGCCAUGUGAGAUAAUUGAACCAUGUCCCUUUUUCUUGGAGUGAAAUGAAAAAUAUAUUCUUAAUUUCUUGGCGAUGUUUUGAUGAUCUCAUUAUUCUUUCAUCUUGAUUGACUGCUUGCCAUAGAUUAAGUUUAAUGGACUAGAGAAUGCUAGAAUUUGCUCUUGUGCUUGUUGAGACGUGAUAUCAAUACAUGGCCCUGAUUCUGGAAGGGAUAGAGGUUCUCUAGGAAUUACCACCAUUGCCAAAUAAACUUGUGUCCCCAUUUGUGCCCGUCGUGGGACCCCCCUAGAUAAGCCCCUUUGAGCCUACUUUGAGCCUUUUCGUUCAUCACCCUUAAAAUCCUUAACCAUGAAGCUUAGUAUAGUUACAACCCUACCCUUGGUUCUAAGGACUUAGUGGAGCUAUCUUUUGAGACAUACUACAUGAGUUUGGUGCUAAGGAUGAAGAUUGAGAAGAGGUGAAAGUUCAAGUGUAGGGAUAGACUUGUCCAUAAAGAAAAAGAUAUGUUGAAGCCGUGAAAAAUGAAAAGAAAAGAGAAAAAUUGUGUACGGCUAAAAAGAAAAAGAAAAAAAUAUAUAUAUAUGUUUAUGGACUUUCAUCCCCCAUACUUAGUGAUUUUGGAGUUUGCUUUGAAUUGAAGGCCCACUACAGAAAAAUUUGGCCUUUGUCCAUUUCACUAGAGUUCAAGGGAAGUUUAUAUUGAAGAUUGGGCCCAACAUGAAGACAUUUGGCCCUCUUAUAUUACCUCUAUGGGGAAGUGACGUUUUUGCAAUGCCUUGGUGAAAUAUUUCGAGAUCUCUACAUUCAUAUGAGCUCUACUAGGUUUUUAGGACACUUUGAUAAUCCUUACCUUUCAUUUCUUUAAACCUUGAGCCUUAGCCCCAUUACAACCUUUGAGAGGACCUUCUUGAUCCUUAAGAUGGGACAGCCUUUGAUGUGGAGAUGAGUUACAAGAGUUGAACCUAUGGCUUGGGUCCAUUCGUGCAAGUAGUUGAUAUCCUUCAUGAGAUCUUUUGAAAAAAAAAAUUAUAUUCACAAAGUGCUUUUCGUUUCUUAUAUAUGUGAGCUAUUUGACUGCCUUAAAAUAUGUUCUCUCACAUAUAAAUGAGUGAUUAUAAGCUUUUAAGCAUUGCCUUGAUCUGAGAGAAGAAAAAGUGGAUAUACCUUGUGAGGAUAUGAAUCAUACUUGUCUGAAGCAUGCUAAGCUAAACCCCAAUCACCAUUAUUACAACCAAGUCCUACUUGUGUAUGUGUGGAUCAUAUGUUUUAAUUAACUCUCGAAUGCUUAACAUUGAUUCUUGGUUGAGUGCUAAUCUUGGUGUUGUGAAAGUAAGAGAUUUCUGAGACAAUAUGUUAAAGGGCAAUAGAGGUCUUUGUGAUGUCAACAUCUUGGUCUUUGUCUUUGAAUUUACUCUUUUAUGUGUGACGUUUUUUUUUUUUUUCUUUGUGUUUUGCUUUGUGUUUUACGUUUUUGGUUUCUUUGAGUCUUUCUGUUUUUGUUUCCAUACUUAGUCAUUUUUUUCGUUGGUUUCUUUGUUUUGUGUCAUAGUCUUUUUGGUUUGUUAGUUUUUGAUUUUGCUAAGGGACUAGCAAAAGCUAAGUGUGGGGGAAUUUGAUAGGAGCAUUUUAAUGUGGUAUUUUAAUAGUUAAUUCCUCACAUUUUGCUUAGUUAAUUCCUUAACGAAUCGAUUUUUAACUCAAUUUCUAUUUUCUUAGGUACAUUGGAGUAAAUGAUGGUGAAAUAAGCAUUAGGUCCACACUUACCUAUAAAUGGUGGAGAAAAAUGGAAAUGUACUAAAAUGUCAAUUUUACACAUUUUCCUACUCCGGCUAGGAGAAACCAAGCCAAGCAAGGAAGAAGGAGCGGCCGCCGGACCAAAUGAACUUUAAAUGAGCUGAAACUUUCCAGAUCCAUUCUAGACAGCCCAAGGAUCAUUUCUUAUGAAGAGUGCAAGAACUUUUGUUGAGUGGAAGGCCUUCAAACAAUCAACCCAAUUUUCUACAGAAGCAAAACUGGAAAACUGGACCUGUAAGAGGUCCAGCAGCAUUUUCGGCCCAACCACAUGGAAUAAAAAUCUGAAAUUUUACCAGGGUGAUCUACACUCAUAAUGGAACAUUUUUUAUGAAGAGGUCAUAGUGAAAUUGGGAAUGCUUGUUGGAGAAAUAAUUGAAGGAAUAAAGGGGCAGAAACUGAUCUAAAAAACAGCUCAACAUCACAUGUUCAUGUUUCCUACCCACAUGAAGAAAGCUAGAUGCUUUUCUCUUUUUCCUUGGAUAUAUUUUUCUGCUCCAAUAGAUCAUCAUCACUUCCAUACUUCUACACCUUCAUGCCUUGCUUUCAUUUCAUCAUUACUCCAUCUUUUCCAUAUUUUACAAACCACUUUCAUUAUUUUUCUUCCAUUUAUCAUUUCACUCUUCUUUUUCUUCCCUAUAUAAACACCUUCUCCUCUCACUCUAAACAAAUUCCUUCAUCCAUUUCAUCUUCUUUGUCUCUCCAUUUCCAUUCCAUUUUUCUCUCCAUUCUCUAGUUGCAAAAUUCUGCGUUUUCAAGUAAGAAGAAGAAGAAGAAGAAGGAGCCGGGAAUAUCAUAUCCUCCAUCGUCCACCUUGAAGGCUUGCUUCCAAGAUUCAAGAUUUCAACGUUUCAAGCACUCCAUCUCCAUCUCCAACUCACGGUGUAAUUCAUUCUUUUUCCUUAUUUAAUUUCGUAGGAAUUUGUUUCUAGUUAACAAUAACAUUAAGGGCAAAGUUUAAGCCCAAUUUCUAUGUUUGAAUAAAAAUUGUGAUUUCUUUA
Molecule: long non-coding RNA, 6909 nt
Organism: Rosa rugosa (rugosa rose)
Lineage: Eukaryota; Viridiplantae; Streptophyta; Magnoliopsida; Rosales; Rosaceae
Exons: 2
Source: RefSeq, a predicted model, not a curated record